UACGAGGGGGGCAAAUGUUGUUCGGAAUCACUGGGCGUAAAGGGCGCGUAGGCGGGUUUUUAAGUUGGAUGUUUAACCCCGGGGCCCAACCCCGGAUCGGCAUCCAAAACUGGAAAUCUUGAAUAGGGAAGAGGUCAGUGGAAUUGGAGGUGUAGCGGUGGAAUGCGUAGAGAUCUUCAAGAACACCAGUUGCGAAGGCGGCUGACUGGACCCAUAUUGACGCUGAGGCUCGAAAGCAUGGGGAGCAAACAGG
Molecule: ribosomal RNA, 253 nt
Filed under: uncultured bacterium
Lineage: Bacteria
Description: partial 16S ribosomal RNA
Rfam family: Bacterial small subunit ribosomal RNA
Source: RNAcentral